This 539-nucleotide ribosomal RNA is filed under the name Lophotrichus sp. UAMH 11809. RNAcentral describes it as "eukaryotic LSU rRNA". The stretch from base 169 to 322 matches the Rfam family "5.8S ribosomal RNA". The record is from RNAcentral. Lineage: Eukaryota; Fungi; Ascomycota; Sordariomycetes; Microascales; Microascaceae.
UGCGGAGGGAUCAUUACCGAGUUAUUACUCCAAACCCUUUGUGAACCUUACCUUUUUUGUUGCUCGGCGCCUCGCGGGCCGCGGGCUCCGGCCCGUCCCGCAGGGUGCCAGAGGACCCAACUCUUCCAUUUUACAGUAUAUCUUCUGAUUUACCAAACAAACAAUCAAAACUUUCAACAACGGAUCUCUUGGUUCUGGCAUCGAUGAAGAACGCAGCGAAAUGCGAUAAGUAAUGUGAAUUGCAGAAUUCAGUGAAUCAUCGAAUCUUUGAACGCACAUUGCGCCCGGCAGUAUUCUGCCGGGCAUGCCUGUCCGAGCGUCAUUUCAACCCUCGAGCCGCUUUCAGUGGAUCGGUGUUGGGGCACUGCCGUCAAACGCAGGCCCUGAAAUGAAGUGGCGGUCCCGCCGCGGCGCCCCCAUGCGUAGUAACGUCUAGUCUCGCAUCGGGUCCCGGCGGAGGCCUGCCGUCAAGCCUAUUCUUAACUCAGAACAGUUUGACCUCGGAUCAGGUAGGGUUACCCGCUGAACUUAAGCAUAUC